UAUUAACCACAAAAUGUGAGGUUGGUGUC
RNAcentral lists this non-coding RNA (29 nucleotides) under Mus musculus (house mouse). Lineage: Eukaryota; Metazoa; Chordata; Mammalia; Rodentia; Muridae. The record is from RNAcentral.